Molecule: ribosomal RNA, 642 nt
Filed under: uncultured fungus
Lineage: Eukaryota; Fungi
Description: eukaryotic LSU rRNA
Rfam family: Eukaryotic large subunit ribosomal RNA
Source: RNAcentral
CCCGCUGAACUUAAGCAUAUCAAUAAGCGGAGGAAAAGAAACUAACAAGGAUUCCCCUAGUAACGGCGAGUGAAGCGGGAUGAGCUCAAAUUUGAAAUCUGGCUGGUUUACUAGUCCGAGUUGUAAUUUAAAGAAGCGUUUUCGGUGGCAGCCUGGGUAUAAAUCCUUUGGAAUAGGGUAUCAUAGAGGGUGAGAAUCCCGUCUUUGACACGGACUACCAGUGCUAUGUGAUGCGCUCUCGACGAGUCGAGUUGUUUGGGAAUGCAGCUCAAAAUGGGUGGUAAAUUCCAUCUAAAGCUAAAUACAGGCGAGAGACCGAUAGCGAACAAGUACCGUGAGGGAAAGAUGAAAAGAACUUUGGAAAGAGAGUUAAACAGUAUGUGAAAUUGCUGAAAGGGAAACGCUUGAUGUCAGUCACGUUGGCUAGGGAUCAACCUUGCUUCUCGCUGGGUGUAUUUCCUAGUGGACGGGUCAGCAUCAGUUUCGGUCGCUGUACAAGGGCAAAGGGAACGUGGCACUCCUUGGAGUGUGUUAUAGCCUUUCGUCGUAUGCAGUGGUUGGGACUGAGGAACUCGGCACGAAAUCUAUUUUGUGCUUAGGAUGCUGGCAUAAUGGCCUUAAGCGACCCGUCUUGAAACACGG